Molecule: ribosomal RNA, 434 nt
Filed under: uncultured Lachnospiraceae bacterium
Lineage: Bacteria; Bacillati; Bacillota; Clostridia; Lachnospirales; Lachnospiraceae
Description: bacterial SSU rRNA
Rfam family: Bacterial small subunit ribosomal RNA
Source: RNAcentral
ACGGAAGGCAGCAGUGGGGAAUAUUGGACAAUGGGGGAAACCCUGAUCCAGCGACGCCGCGUGAGUGAAGAAGUAUUUCGGUAUGUAAAGCUCUAUCAGCAAGGAAGAAAAUGACGGUACUUGACUAAGAAGCCCCGGCUAACUACGUGCCAGCAGCCGCGGUAAUACGUAGGGGGCAAGCGUUAUCCGGAUUUACUGGGUGUAAAGGGAGCGUAGACGGCAUAGCAAGUCUGAAGUGAAAUGCAUGGGCUCAACCCAUGAACUGCUUUGGAAACUGUUAAGCUAGAGUGCAGGAGAGGUAAGUGGAAUUCCUAGUGUAGCGGUGAAAUGCGUAGAUAUUAGGAGGAGCACCAGUGGCGAAGGCGGCUUACUGGACUGUAACUGACGUUGAGGCUCGAAAGCGUGGGGAGCAAACAGGAUUAGAUACCCUGGUA